Molecule: ribosomal RNA, 465 nt
Filed under: uncultured bacterium
Lineage: Bacteria
Description: partial 16S ribosomal RNA
Rfam family: Bacterial small subunit ribosomal RNA
Source: RNAcentral
GAUGAACGCUGGCGGCGUGCUUAACACAUGCAAGUCGAACGGAAAGGCUCCUGCUUGCAGGGGUACUCGAGUGGCGAACGGGUGAGUAACACGUGGGUGAUCUGCCCUGCACUUCGGGAUAAGCCUGGGAAACUGGGUCUAAUACCGGAUAGGACGAUAGUUUGGAUGCCAUUGUGGAAAGUUUUUCGGUGUGGGAUGAGCUCGCGGCCUAUCAGCUUGUUGGUGGGGUAAUGGCCUACCAAGGCGUCGACGGGUAGCCGGCCUGAGAGGGUGUACGGCCACAUUGGGACUGAGAUACGGCCCAGACUCCUACGGGAGGCAGCAGUGGGGAAUAUUGCACAAUGGGCGCAAGCCUGAUGCAGCGACGCCGCGUGGGGGAUGACGGCCUUCGGGUUGUAAACUCCUUUCGCUAGGGACGAAGCGCAAGUGACGGUACCUGGAGAAGAAGCACCGGCUAACUACGUG